UUCUACGGGGGGCAGCAGUGGGGAAUAUUGCACAAUGGGCGAAAGCCUGAUGCAGCGACGCCGCGUGAGGGAUGACGGCCUUCGGGUUGUAAACCUCUUUCAGCAGGGACGAAGCGCAAGUGACGGUACCUGCAGAAGAAGGACCGGCUAACUACGUGCCAGCAGCCGCGGUAAUA
This 176-nucleotide ribosomal RNA is filed under the name uncultured Rhodococcus sp. RNAcentral describes it as "partial 16S ribosomal RNA". It matches the Rfam family "Bacterial small subunit ribosomal RNA", at positions 337 to 525 of the family's 1533-position model. Lineage: Bacteria; Bacillati; Actinomycetota; Actinomycetes; Mycobacteriales; Nocardiaceae. The record is from RNAcentral.